GGCGGCGUAGCUCAGCUGGCUAGAGCGUACGGUUCAUACCCGUAAGGUCGGGGGUUCGAGCCCCUCUGCCGCUACUA
This 77-nucleotide transfer RNA is filed under the name Paenibacillus sp. Soil724D2. RNAcentral's name for it is "tRNA-Met". It matches the Rfam family "tRNA". From Rfam's summary of the family: Transfer RNA (tRNA) molecules are approximately 80 nucleotides in length. Their secondary structure includes four short double-helical elements and three loops (D, anti-codon, and T loops). Lineage: Bacteria; Bacillati; Bacillota; Bacilli; Caryophanales; Paenibacillaceae. The record is from RNAcentral. RNAcentral also lists the same sequence under 2 other names.